Molecule: non-coding RNA, 104 nt
Organism: Acanthosepion pharaonis
Lineage: Eukaryota; Metazoa; Mollusca; Cephalopoda; Sepiida; Sepiidae
Source: the annotation of a GenBank genome assembly
AGCCAUAUCACAUUGAAACAUUGGUUCUCUUCUGAUCAUCGAAGUUAAGCAAUGUUGAGCCUGGUUAGUACCUUGAUGGGUGACUACUUGGGAAUACCAGGUAC